CCUACGGGUGGCAGCAGUAGGGAAUCUUUCACAAUGGGCGAACGCCUGAUGGAGCAACGUCGCGUGCAGGAUGACGGCCCUCGGGUUGUAAACUGCUUUUAUUAGCGAGACAUCGGAUGGUAACUUAUGAAUAAGGAUCGGCUAACUAAGUGCCAGCAGCCGCGGUCAUACGUAGGAUCCGAGCAUUAUCCGGAGUGACUGGGUGUAAAGAGUUGCGUAGGUGGCAUAAUAAGUAGCUAGUGAAAUUUGGUGGCGCAACCAUUCAGACUAUUAGCUAAACUGUUGAGCUCGAGACCGUUAGGGGCAUCUGGAAUUUCUAGUGUAGGAGUGAAAUCCGUAGAUAUUAGAAGGAACACCAAUAGCGUAGGCAGGAUGCUGGGACGGUUCUGACACUGAGGCACGAAAGCGUAGGGAGCAAACGGGAUUAGAUACCCGGGUAGUC
RNAcentral lists this ribosomal RNA (442 nucleotides) under uncultured bacterium. RNAcentral describes it as "partial 16S ribosomal RNA". It matches the Rfam family "Bacterial small subunit ribosomal RNA", at positions 338 to 795 of the family's 1533-position model. The record is from RNAcentral.